GUUAUAAAUGACCCUAUCUCCUUUGCUCGCUGUACUCUCGUGGCAAAACUGCUGUUAUAGUCAGUGCCAGUAGACUGAGAGUUUUGGCAAAUCCACAGUGACUCGCCUAUUCUCUGUGGUGGACACUGUUGCAUGGAAGGAGCUCCCAGGAUUCCCCAGGCGUGUUCUUCUGGUAUGGUGGCUUCUGACUUGGCUUGGGUUACUGAGCCAACUUGAUACCUUCGGUGCUCUGUCUGCUUUUUGCUGUUACCAAGGAUAGUGGACUCCACCCGAGGAAGUUACAACAGGAGAGCUUCCUAGGGUGGCAGAUACAUGCAGCCAAUUUAAGCCCAACCUGUAGGCAGAAGCAGAGCUACCCAGCUAAUCUGCAGACAUGCGGGGAACUUGUCUGCUUUAGAAAUGCUGCCUGAUGGACCAGCACCAAGGACGUUUCUUCAGAAGAAAAGCUGUCUCUUUCCCCUGUUCUCUUACAUUCUUUUGCAUAAGGCAGGUACUCGAUAAAUUGAACUGAUUAGUUGCACUGCCCAAUAAGGUAGUCAUUAUCACCUCUGGCUAUUUAAAUUUAAAUUAUUCACAAUUAAACAAAAUAAAAAUUCAAGUUCUCAAUAGCCACAUGUGGCUAGAGGCCACCAUAUUAGACAGCACAGAUGUGGACCAUUUCCAUCAUCACAAAGUUCUGUUGGACAGUGGCUACGUCUAGAUUCCAGAGGUUGGGUAAUUUAUUAAUUCUGAAGGCUGGGAGAAGUAAAUUCUUUGUGGUUUGAUGAUAUGAGUGCUGCGACGAUAGGAUGGAGAGAGGAGAAAGGGAAUAAAAGAAAAAAAUGAGCUCUAUAAUCUCCUUUUACCUUUGGUUUAGACAUAAAUAAUCUUUAUGAAAUACCACCUGGUGUGUUGGUUAUACUC
This 903-nucleotide long non-coding RNA is filed under the name Homo sapiens (human). Its description in RNAcentral is "HSALNT0309234". The record is from RNAcentral. Lineage: Eukaryota; Metazoa; Chordata; Mammalia; Primates; Hominidae.